GACGAACGCUGGCGGCGUGCCUAACACAUGCAAGUCGAGCGAGGAGAGUUCCUUCGGGAACAAACCUAGCGGCGGACGGGUGAGUAACACGUGGGCAACCUGCCUUGUAGAGGGAAUAGCCUUCCGAAAAGGAAGAUUAAUACCGCAUAAUAUUACAGUUUCGCAUGAAACAGUAAUUAAAGGAGCAAUCCGUUACAAGAUGGGCCCGCGGCGCAUUAGCUAGUUGGUGAGGUAACGGCUCACCAAGGCGACGAUGCGUAGCCGACCUGAGAGGGUGAUCGGCCACAUUGGGACUGAGACACGGCCCAGACUCCUACGGGAGGCAGCAGUGGGGAAUAUUGCACAAUGGGGGAAACCCUGAUGCAGCAACGCCGCGUGAGUGAUGAAGGUUUUCGGAUCGUAAAGCUCUGUCUUCGGGGACGAUAAUGACGGUACCCGAGGAGGAAGCCACGGCUAACUACGUG
Molecule: ribosomal RNA, 464 nt
Filed under: uncultured bacterium
Lineage: Bacteria
Description: bacterial SSU rRNA
Rfam family: Bacterial small subunit ribosomal RNA
Source: RNAcentral